AUUGAUUGACUUCAGCCCACUGUGCCAGCAUCGUGGCACAUCUGCAAGCAGCCUAUCAAUUUUUGACGAGACAAUCUCAGAGUCCAAAGGGGCACUGCAAAAAAAUGCAGUCGGAGCAAUUGGCUGGCGGACCAGGGGUCGCUCGAGAGUGCAUCACGGAAGAGUAGCAAAAGAAGACGAUAAAAUAACCGGAGAAUAAGUCGAACAAAGCUUAAGAAAAGAACACUUGUAUGUACCUUCUCUGCAAAGGAUACACAAGUGUCUCAUUAAAAGAAAUAAAGGACAAGCCAAGCGCCGACGAAGUCCUUAAAGUCGGGACUCGAAUCCCUGGCAGACGACAAGGACGGGGAGACGGCGGAGCGGGCGAGUGCGAGCGAGAGGAGUGGCGGGCAGACUGCAAGGAAAGGGCGAUUGAAAGGCAGUCGCAACGUGAGCGACUUCAAGGACAACUACGGCCAACAACAAGAACAAGUGCCAAAAAAAUCAACGAAAAUGCGCUAUUAAGGCAAUUUUUUCGGUUGGAAUCCAACCAAUCCCCGAACUUCUCCACUCCACGAAAACCAUAGACUGCACAGGAAAAAUUUUCAGAUCAUUGGGGAAUAUAUUCUUUCGGUGUGCCCACGAUUACAGCUCUCCCCGCCAGACGGCGGCCACUGACGAUGUGAAGAGCAUUCGAGGGGAGAGCCGGGAGACUGCAGACAGGAGACUGGAGACAGGAGACAGGCGGUCGCAAAGUGGCUCAAUGUCAGACACAGACACGGGUACAGACAACGAGACACAGACACCAGACGCCUCAGCCUCAAAGUGAUUCAAAUACUCUGCUCAAACACAGGCUAGGCUCUCUUUGCGCUCUCAUCGAUGCAACAUAUAGCCCACCAAAUGCAUGGAAAUUUUCGGUAGGACACAAGCGGCAACUCGACGCGAUGGAUACCCAGUUUUCAUAAGCGGGCAUGGAUGUUUGUUCCAUGACUGUACGAAGUAAAACACUUAACUGUUCCUAUAAAUCGCUUAUAUAAUGUAAAAUAAAUUAUAUCUUUUGCACUUUAGUAUACUCAGCACUCAGAUAAGUGAAAUAUUUUUAACUUUAUUUCUGAUAUAACAGUGGAAUCAGGCGACCCUUGCACUUUCUAUCUUGGUUUAUAACAACAAUUAAAGAACGAGGAACACGAGAGACCUUUUUUUUAAGAUAUGACAGUUUUUAUGGUUUGACGUCUCAAACGAAAAAUGUUUGU
Drosophila sechellia is the source of this 1232-nucleotide long non-coding RNA. RefSeq lists it as uncharacterized. The transcript has 3 exons. The record is from RefSeq and is a predicted model, not a curated record. NCBI's taxonomy places the organism in Eukaryota, Metazoa, Arthropoda, Insecta, Diptera, Drosophilidae.